GACGAACGCUGGCGGCGUGCUUAACACAUGCAAGUCGAACGGAGAUUAUUAAUGAAGCUUGCGAUUUAAUAAUCUUAGUGGCGGACGGGUGAGUAACGCGUGGGCAACCUACCCAUAAGAGGGGGAUAACAGUUGGAAACGACUGCUAAUACCGCAUAAGCUAUUGAGGUCGCAUGACCUUAAUAGUAAAGGUGGCGCUUGUUUACAAGCUAUCACUUAUGGAUGGGCCCGCGUCUGAUUAGCUAGUUGGUGGGUAGAAGCCUACCAAGGCAACGAUCAGUAGCCGGCCUGAGAGGGUGGACGGCCACACUGGGACUGAGACACGGCCCAGACUCCUACGGGAGGCAGCAGUGGGGAAUAUUGCGCAAUGGGGGAAACCCUGACGCAGCGACGCCGCGUGAGCGAUGAAGGCCUUAGGGUCGUAAAGCUCUGUUGUAAGGGGACGAAUGUUUAAUCUGGCCAAAUGUCAGAUAAAGUGACGGUACCUUACCAGCAAGCCCCGGA
RNAcentral lists this ribosomal RNA (504 nucleotides) under uncultured bacterium. RNAcentral's name for it is "bacterial SSU rRNA". It matches the Rfam family "Bacterial small subunit ribosomal RNA", at positions 28 to 497 of the family's 1533-position model. The record is from RNAcentral.